This 412-nucleotide ribosomal RNA is filed under the name uncultured bacterium. Its description in RNAcentral is "bacterial SSU rRNA". It matches the Rfam family "Bacterial small subunit ribosomal RNA", at positions 94 to 541 of the family's 1533-position model. The record is from RNAcentral.
AGUGGCGGACGGGUGAGUAACGCGUGAGAAUCUGCCUUCAGGAUGGGGACAACAGUUGGAAACGACUGCUAAUACCCAAUAUGCCUACGGGUGAAACUUAUUUGGCCUGAAGAUGAGCUCGCGUCUGAUUAGCUAGUUGGUGGUGUAAGAGACUACCAAGGCGACGAUCAGUAGCUGGGCUGAGAGGAUGAGCAGCCACACUGGGACUGAGACACGGCCCAGACUCCUACGGGAGGCAGCAGUGGGGAAUUUUCCGCAAUGGGCGAAAGCCUGACGGAGCAAUACCGCGUGAGGGAGGAAGGUUUUUGGAUUGUAAACCUCUUUUCUCAGGGAAGAAUUUUGACGGUACCUGAGGAAUAAGCACCGGCUAACUCCGUGCCAGCAGCCGCGGUAAUACGGAGGGUGCAAGCGU